Molecule: ribosomal RNA, 253 nt
Filed under: uncultured bacterium
Lineage: Bacteria
Description: partial 16S ribosomal RNA
Rfam family: Bacterial small subunit ribosomal RNA
Source: RNAcentral
UACGUAGGGGGCUAGCGUUGUCCGGAAUCAUUGGGCGUAAAGCGCGUGUAGGCGGUCCGGUAAGUCCGCUGUGAAAGUCGAGGGCUCAACCCUCGAAUGCCGGUGGAUACUGUCGGGCUUGAGUACGGGAGAGGCGAGUGGAAUUCCUGGUGUAGCGGUGGAAUGCGCAGAUAUCAGGAGGAACACCGAUGGCGAAGGCAGCUCGCUGGGACGGUACUGACGCUGAGGCGCGAAAGCGUGGGGAGCGAACAGG